GACGAACGCUGGCGGCGUGCUUAACACAUGCAAGUCGAACGGAAAGGCCUCUUUCGGGGGGUACUCGAGUGGCGAACGGGUGAGUAACACGUGAGUAACCUGCCCUUGACUUUGGGAUAACUUCAGGAAACUGGGGCUAAUACCGGAUAGGAGCUCCUGCUGCAUGGUGGGGGUUGGAAAGUUUCGGCGGUUGGGGAUGGACUCGCGGCUUAUCAGCUUGUUGGUGGGGUAGUGGCUUACCAAGGCUUUGACGGGUAGCCGGCCUGAGAGGGUGACCGGCCACAUUGGGACUGAGAUACGGCCCAGACUCCUACGGGAGGCAGCAGUGGGGAAUAUUGCACAAUGGGUGGAAGCCUGAUGCAGCAACGCCGUGUGCGGGAUGACGGCCUUCGGGUUGUAAACCGCUUUCGCUCAUGACGAAGCUUUGUGUGACGGUAGUGGGCAAAGAAGCACCGGCUAACUACGU
RNAcentral lists this ribosomal RNA (466 nucleotides) under uncultured bacterium. Its description in RNAcentral is "partial 16S ribosomal RNA". It matches the Rfam family "Bacterial small subunit ribosomal RNA", at positions 28 to 506 of the family's 1533-position model. The record is from RNAcentral.